RNAcentral lists this ribosomal RNA (250 nucleotides) under uncultured bacterium. RNAcentral describes it as "partial 16S ribosomal RNA". It matches the Rfam family "Bacterial small subunit ribosomal RNA", at positions 524 to 773 of the family's 1533-position model. The record is from RNAcentral.
AACGUAGGUGGCAAGCGUUGUCCGGAAUUACUGGGUGUAAAGGGAGCGCAGGCGGAAUGGCAAGUUGGAUGUGAAAUCUGGGGGCUCAACCCCCAAACUGCAUUCAAAACUGCUGUUCUUGAGUGAUGUAGAGGCAGGCGGAAUUCCCGGUGUAGCGGUGGAAUGCGUAGAUAUCGGGAGGAACACCAGUGGCGAAGGCGGCCUGCUGGGCAUUUACUGACGCUGAGGCUCGAAAGUGUGGGGAGCAAAC